GGCGUGCCUAACACAUGCAAGUCGUACGAGAAAUCCCGAGCUUGCUUGGGAGAGUAAAGUGGCGCACGGGUGAGUAACGCGUGGGUAACCCACCUUCGAAUCUGGGAUAACUCCGCGAAAGCGGUGCUAAUACCGGAUAAGACCACAGCCGUUUCGGCGGCAGAGGUAAAAGCUGACCUCUCCAUGGAAGUUAGCGUUCGAGGACGGGCCCGCGUCCUAUCAGCUUGUUGGUGGGGUAAAAGCCUACCAAGGCAGCGACGGGUAGCUGGUCUGAGAGGAUGAUCAGCCACACUGGAACUGGAACACGGUCCAGACUCCUACGGGAGGCAGCAGUGAGGAAUUUUGCGCAAUGGGGGAAACCCUGACGCAGCAACGCCGCGUGGGUGAAGAAGGCUUUCGGGUCGUAAAGCCCUGUCAGGUGGGAAGAACCGUUUCGAUACUAAUAAUGUCGAAGCCUGACGGUACCACCAGAGGAAGCACCGGCCAACUCCGUGCCAGCAGCCGCGGUAAUACGGAGGGUGCAAGCGUUGUUCGGAAUUAUUGGGCGUAAAGAGCGUGUAGGCGGUUGUUUAAGUCUGAUGUGAAAGCCCUGGGCUCAACCCAAGAAGUGCAUUGGAUACUGGACAACUUGAGUA
Molecule: ribosomal RNA, 635 nt
Filed under: uncultured delta proteobacterium
Lineage: Bacteria; Deltaproteobacteria
Description: bacterial SSU rRNA
Rfam family: Bacterial small subunit ribosomal RNA
Source: RNAcentral